AUCUACACCGAUUCAACACAUCUUUUAAUUCCACUGACAAGUGUCAAAUGAAAAGUUGAAGAAUCCAAACAUUAACAAGUGCGUACUCAAAUAUGCUUACUGAAAAAUAAAUUUAUCAACAAAUAAAUUAUUAAAUUUUGAACAAUGCACAUGCUUAUAUAACAGCGUCCACUUUUUUAAUUACAAUUUUUAAAAAAAUAUCAAGUUCAGUUUAUCUUAAUUAAACUGUUGCUAAAGAGGUAACAAUGAAGAAGCUACAGCAUGGAAUUAAAAUUUUGAGUAGAAAGGAAAAUGCAAAAACAUAAGAGAGUAUUAUUUUCAAAUGAGCUAGUUGUGCUUGACCAACCAGGCAUUUAGGAUUGAAAUUUCCAACCCAAAGAACUUCAGAAGUCUACCUCAUA
Molecule: unclassified non-coding RNA, 401 nt
Filed under: Hevea brasiliensis (rubber tree)
Lineage: Eukaryota; Viridiplantae; Streptophyta; Magnoliopsida; Malpighiales; Euphorbiaceae
Source: RNAcentral